This 67-nucleotide transfer RNA is filed under the name Caridina multidentata. RNAcentral describes it as "tRNA-Leu". The record is from RNAcentral. Lineage: Eukaryota; Metazoa; Arthropoda; Malacostraca; Decapoda; Atyidae.
AUCACCUUGGCAGACGAAUGCACUAGAUUUAGGAUCUAAUUAUAUAGAUUAAGGACUAUAGGUGAUA